AAAUUUCUGAUCUAUUCGAUACUAACAACGAAUUUUUAGGCUUUACUCUAUUUUAAUGGGGUUAUCCCUUUAUAAAUUGUUUCAGGAAAAUCACGACGGCUCACGCUUUGUACGGAUUCUGUACAGUUUAUAAAUAUGACUACCACCUGUAACAUCCUACAGGCUACUAAAAAUUACGUUAGAACGGUAGAUCGGAUUUUUU
This 202-nucleotide non-coding RNA is filed under the name Leptotrichia sp. oral taxon 223. RNAcentral describes it as "6S RNA". It matches the Rfam family "6S / SsrS RNA". From Rfam's summary of the family: E. coli 6S RNA was the first non coding RNA to be sequenced, but its function was unknown until recently. It consists of 184 nucleotides that fold into an extended hairpin structure with a large single-stranded internal bulge. Lineage: Bacteria; Fusobacteriati; Fusobacteriota; Fusobacteriia; Fusobacteriales; Leptotrichiaceae. The record is from RNAcentral.